Molecule: ribosomal RNA, 234 nt
Filed under: uncultured bacterium
Lineage: Bacteria
Description: partial 16S ribosomal RNA
Rfam family: Bacterial small subunit ribosomal RNA
Source: RNAcentral
CGGGACGGGUGAGUAAUGUCUGGGAAACUGCCUGAUGGAGGGGGAUAACUACUGGAAACGGUAGCUAAUACCGCAUAACGUCGCAAGACCAAAGAGGGGGGACCUUAGGGCCUCUUGCCAUCGGAUGUGCCCAGAUGGGAUUAGCUAGUAGGUGGGGUAACGGCUCACCUAGGCGACGAUCCCUAGCUGGUCUGAGAGGAUGACCAGCCACACUGGAACUGAGACACGGUCCAG